GAUGAACGCUGACAGAAUGCUUAACACAUGCAAGUCGACUGGAACUUCGGGGUAGGUGGCGGACGGGUGAGUAACGCGUAAAGAACUUGCCUCACAGAUAGGGACAACAUUUGGAAACGAAUGCUAAUACCGGAUAUGAUGAUUUUAGGGCAUCCUAGAAUUAUGAAAGCUAUAUGCACUGUGAGAGAGCUUUGCGUCCCAUUAGCUAGUUGGAGAGGUAACGGCUCACCAAGGCGAUGAUGGGUAGCCGGCCUGAGAGGGUGAUCGGCCACAAGGGGACGGAGACACGGCCCUUACUCCUCCGGGAGGCAGCAGUGGGGAAUAUUGGACAAUGGACCAAUAGUCUGAUCCAGCAAUUCUGUGUGCACGAUGAAGUUUUUCGGAAUGUAAAGUGCUUUCAGUUGGGAAGAAAAAAAUGACGGUACCAACAGAAGAAGUGACGGCUAAAUACGUG
RNAcentral lists this ribosomal RNA (454 nucleotides) under uncultured bacterium. RNAcentral's name for it is "partial 16S ribosomal RNA". It matches the Rfam family "Bacterial small subunit ribosomal RNA", at positions 28 to 507 of the family's 1533-position model. The record is from RNAcentral.